CGGCGGACGGGUGAGUAACGCGUGGGUAACCUGCCUCAUACAGGGGGAUAACAGUUGGAAACGGCUGCUAAUACCGCAUAAGCGCACAGUACCGCAUGGUACCGUGUGAAAAACUCCGGUGGUAUGAGAUGGACUCGCGUCUGAUUAGCUAGUUGGUGGGGUAACGGCCUACCAAGGCGACGAUCAGUAGCCGACCUGAGAGGGUGACCGGCCACAUUGGGACUGAGACACGGCCCAA
RNAcentral lists this ribosomal RNA (238 nucleotides) under uncultured bacterium. RNAcentral describes it as "partial 16S ribosomal RNA". It matches the Rfam family "Bacterial small subunit ribosomal RNA", at positions 96 to 334 of the family's 1533-position model. The record is from RNAcentral.